CCGCAACGAGCGCAACCCUUGUCAUUAGUUGCUACAUUCAGUUGGGCACUUUAAUGAGACUGCCGGUGACAAACCGGAGGAAGGUGGGGAUGACGUCAAGUCCUCAUGGCCCUUAUAGGUAGGGCUACACACGUCAUACAAUGGAUGGUACAAAGGGUCGCCAACCCGCGAGGGGGAGCCAAUCCCAUAAAACCAUUCGUAGUCCGGAUCGCAGUCUGCAACUCGACUGCGUGAAGUCGGAAUCGCUAGUAAUCGUGGAUUAGAAUGUCACGGUGAAUACGUUCCCGGGUCUUGUACACAC
RNAcentral lists this ribosomal RNA (301 nucleotides) under uncultured bacterium. RNAcentral's name for it is "bacterial SSU rRNA". It matches the Rfam family "Bacterial small subunit ribosomal RNA", at positions 1087 to 1390 of the family's 1533-position model. The record is from RNAcentral.